Anolis carolinensis (green anole) is the source of this 364-nucleotide long non-coding RNA. RefSeq lists it as uncharacterized. NCBI's taxonomy places the organism in Eukaryota, Metazoa, Chordata, Lepidosauria, Squamata, Anolidae. The record is from RefSeq and is a predicted model, not a curated record. The transcript is spliced from 2 exons.
GCCACAUGGGAGCGAAUGGAGGCGGCCAUGGCCCGUGACGUCAGUACUCUGCGCCCGGAAGUGGCAACGCCUCCACUGUACUGCUGCUUAGAGGCUGAAGACAUUAGUUUGUGUAUCUUUCGCUUGAUGACAAGAAGAGGCAAGUGAAAUUGGAAGGAACAGGAAACAUCCAAUGAAUCAGACAUAAAAAGGAGAAUCAGGAUGUAAAAAAAAGAUUUUAUUCUACAAAGAAUGUCAACAUGUUUCAGUCAAGAAAUAUUUGUGUAAUCCAGGGGCUCUUAAAUGGAAAAAAACAAUAUGUUUUCAAUAGUAAUUAUAUAAGUACAGUAUACUUGAAGGAAAAUAAAACAGUCAUGUGCCUUUA